UCCCGGUCUCCGUCGCUGAGUACUUACAGAGACAUCUGGGCGGCCGGAACACCGUUGAGCUUUUGAAGAUUGAGGGUCAUUUGCCGCAUUUGAGCGCCCCUGCGGUCGUGGGUCCCGUCAUCCGGCGAGCCCUGUCGAGAUGAUGAUUUCUCUAGCUACUAGGUGGGGCCCGCACCCGGAAUAAUUUGUGGACAAAAGGCUUUUGGACUCGGGAUUAUUAUUAUUAUUAUAUGAUCUUCUUACAAAGAUAAGCGUACCCAUGUGAUUAUCACGUGAAGACGUGUCCUAUUUUGUUUUGUUUUUUCCUUUUUUCUUAUAAUGUGCCAAACUUUUAUCCUUUAUUCGGCAAGCGAAAAUCAGGAAAUGAAAGGGCUGUCUGUUGUACCUUUUUUUUUUUUAUAACUAUUGACAUUGGAUACUUUCUUGGACUAAGAUUCUCCUUUUGCUUUUUUAUCUUCUAAUUUUUUUGGUUAAAUGAGUGAUAAAAGUUUGAAUUUUAAAUUUUGAUAUUAAUAAAUAAAUUAAUUUUUUUUUUAUAUUCAAAUUAGUUUUUUUAAAAAUAGAUUUAAAAAGCAGAGAAAGACUAAUGGAAAAAACAAACAGAGGGAAGAAUCUUAAUCCAUUUUUCUUAUUCCGGAGGAAUUGCCGCCGACUUGUUAUUUAUUUUACGGCGGAGAAUCUUCAAUCUUAUGUUUAUUCGGUAAUAAGAUCCAAAAUGUGAGACAUCCACUAUUAGAUAGGGAUGGUAAUGGAUUUAAUCUGACACAAGAUUCAUGUGAUCUAAAUUUAAUCGGAUCGAAUUUGGGUCGGUUUAAAAUGAAUUUGGAUCGGAUUUAGAUAUUGAUGUGCAGAUCUAAGAAGGAUAUGGAGCAGGUCUGGAUAUAUCUUAAUAUCUAAAUCCAUAUCCAUAUCCACUCAUCUUUUAAUUUAAUUUUAUUUUAAAAGUUUCUUAACAAUUGUGUAAUUAUACUGAUAAUAAAUUUUAUUCAUAGCAUAUUAGUGGUAUUUACCAUGUAUUUAAACUCUUAAAACUUAAAUGUUAGUUUUGUAAAUUUAAAGGUCAGCCAGCCCUAAAGUAUGUGCAUGCAAUAUUCAAAUUGCAAGUCAAGUAAUACAACCUGACAAUUUAUUUUAUUAUAUUAGCCAAAUAAUUUUUAAGGAAUAUAGUUAUUUAUAUAUUUAGUCAAAUAUGGUCAUAAUAAAAAUAAUAAAUGAUUUAAUAUAAAUUAUAUUUAAUUUAUAUGUCAUUAUCUAAUGUUAUAAGAAUGAAGGUGAGUGUGUCGUUAAUAUUAAAAUAAUGAAUGAUAUAAUAGAAUAUUAGAUUGAUCUUACUCCUGUAAUUACUUUUAAAAGAUAUUUUAUUAUCUUAUUUGUUAUUUUGGUGUAAAUGUAUAAGUUACAAUAUUUAUUAUAUUUUUGAAAAAAAAUAUAUAAUUUAUUUGUUAUCAAUACAUUUUAGUUUUCAAUUUUCAUUCUAAAAAAUUAUUACUUUUUUAAUUGAUGAGUUUUAGAAUUCAUGACAAAUCUAGAGCAUAUUUGAAUUAUUAUUAUUUUUCGGAUUUGAAGCAGAUAUAGAUAUUUAUUUCUUUUUUGGAUCUGGAUAUGGAGCGAAAAAUAUGGAUUCAUGACGGAUCUGGAGCAGAUACAAAUCUUAAUUUUUAUUAUGAAUCUGGAUAUGGAGUAGAAUAGAUUCAAUCCAUAUCUGCCUCAUUUGCCAUCCCUACUUUUAGAUGGGUUUCGGCCACAUAUUCUUUUCCUCCCGCAGCACGUUGUCUCUCUAAUUUGGGUCGUCCAUUAUCUAUUUUUCACUGUCACGAGAGAAAUACAUUGGAAGUUUUAUUUAUCCUUUGUCUUCGUUAAUGAUAUUUUGUUUUUUCAUUUAGACUUUAUAAUUGCAUUCGACAUUCAUAUUUUAAUUUAAACUAUGGAUAUGAAAUAUAUUGAUUAGUUUUUACGACUCGGACCCUAACUAAUAGUUGAGAAGAAAAUUUGAGUCCCACACGACUCGGACCUGCGCCCCCAAUCCCUCAAAUCGAGAGCACAGGUCCUUCACAACUUGGCCUUUAUUUGAUUGUUUUUGUUUUUUUUCCAAUUUUGCAAAAAUACGACAGACAAGUGACAUUUAUGUAACCAAGAAUUAUUGCAGCAUUAUUUCAGUAUUAGCCAUCUAAUUAAUGAAGAUGUUUCACUUCAUUAUCUAUCUACGGUUGUUUCAAUUUUCUAAGAAAAAUAAAAACUACUUAAAAGGAGUACCCUUCUUCCAAAAUAAACUUAACGUGAUUAUUGAAGCUUUUUAGAAUUGUCAUUUGCUGUUAAAUACUUGAAUAGGCAAAGCAAACUCGCACGACAGUUCGUUACCACAGCCCUGGGCCUAGUUGGGUUUUAAAUGAAGGCCUGUCCCAAACUCCUAAUGGAAGGGAAACAAAAUGGAGGAGGGCGAAUAAUUAGUCCAGGCCUUCAUUUGUAAAACCCACUCAGGCCCAUGACUGUCGUAAUGCUAACUACGAGAUCGGUAAUAUUUGACCCCUUUAUUAGCCUCCACCUUUUAACUAAUUUUAUUAAAAAUUAAAAAUUAAUUUUUAUCUCUCAACAUACUUCAUCUAGUCCCGAAUUUAUCCUUAUUAUAAUUUUUAUCUUUUAUUCCAAGCACUCAUCAUAUAAAACUUAUAAAAUAUAUUUUAGAAAAAAAAAAUUCUCAAAAUCACUAUUAUAUCUCUCUUUCUUUUUAAAAGUUUUAUCCACCGUGGCCAUAACUAUAAAAAAAUACUUGGUACUUCUUCAUUAUCCUCUAGUGAGUAUUGUAAAUUAAUUUCUUCCAUAAUUAAAAAAAUAGAGGGUAUAAUAUUUCAGAAUAGAUAAUAAUUUAAAAUUUUAAAAGAAAUUAGAUUAGCUAAAUUAGAUAUUAAUAGAAAUUAUCAUGUGGGGGCACUUAAAAGUUAUUUACUCUUUUAAGUCAUGUCAAAUAAGGAUAAAAUAAGUAUUAGUAUAAAAGCGAUUAGUGGGGAUUGACGAGAUAUAAUGAGGGGGUCAAAUAUUACAACUCCAACUACCAUGUGUUAUUUUCAGAGUGUUGCUACGGAGGACUAUCAACCCCUAAAAUAACCUUUAUCUAACUGAACCACGCCGGAAAAAUAAAAUAAAAUAAAAAUCAUAAUAUUAUUAAUAACAUCUACACGCCAUGAGUUGAUGAUUGUAUUUGUUUCAUUCUUUUUUAAUAACAGGUAUGACUUUUAACUUAGUAAGGAUGUCACUAAAAAACUUUUCAAAUGAGAAGUGAAAAACGCUUCAAAUGAGAUUGUUAUUUUCUCUCUCUUUAAAUUUAAAAAGUGAAUUCUCCUUCUUCAAAUAAUAUUAUGUUAUUUUUUUAUAUCAUCAUUAUUAAAAAGAAAAGUAUUAUAACUAUAUCAAUGAAAAAAUAUAGGCUAAUUAAAUUUGGUGAGAGAAGAAUUUAAUUAGAAUAAUACAAACUUGUAUCUAUAUGAAGAGUCAUUUCCGAAAAAAAAAUAAUUAUCUUUUCACCCUUCUAUUUGCUAAAUAGAUAAGUAAAUAAGCAUUUAUAGUGUAAAAUUAAAUAACUCUUUUAUUGAUUCUCUAACAACAGUUGCAUAAUCAUUCAUUAUUGACUCUAUAUACAAUACCACAAAUGUAUGUUUGUGAUACGAUCCUAGGUUUCCAUUGAUAUAAAUAAAGAAAAAGAAUAGAUAAUUGUUGAUCUCGUCAAGAGAAUCUUCCUUCAAUUAAUCAAAAGACUGUACGAUUAUUUGAUUGGUAGAAUAUAAAAUCCUUGUUUAGAGAGUUUUUAGAGAAACAUUGAACCUUAUCUAAUUAUGCAUGAAUAUGGUAUUUCAAAAUUCAUAACACAAGCUAAUUUUCUUUUUUUUAAGCCUAGGGAUGGGCAUGGGUUGGUAGAAUCAGGUUUGUGAAAAUUCAACCCAACCCGCUAUUUAAGGAAUUGAGAAAAAAAAUCAACUCAAUAGAACCAAAUAAACAUGUCAAAUACAGACCAAUUCAAUUCUUAAAUUAUCAAGUUGGUUGGGUUGAUUGAAGUUAAAAAAAAAAAAAAUUCAAACAUUGAAAAAUAUUAAAAAAACUAUUUGGUAAUUAAUUGAAAUAAGAAAAAGACAAAUUAAUUCUCUAUAAAAACUAUUUUAGUGAGAACUCGGAUUUAAUCUUUGAAUUUUGAAUCAAAGAGAACCCAACUAAUGUCAGGUUUAACAAAAUGAAAUCGAAAAAAGUCUAUUUUCUAAAAGAAUAUAAAGGUGGUCAACAGUUGACAUUAAUUUUGCUAAGAGUUUUGCCAUUCUUGGGUUGGGUUGGGUUAUAUGGUUUCACUAACAUGAACUCAACCUAAUCCAUUCAUUAAUGAGGUUGAAAAAAAUGGUCGAAAUCCAACAAAUCAAUUUAAUUAAUUUUGGGUUGAGUUUGGCUGAAUUAGAUCCAUUAGUUGAAUUUGGUUUACUCACUCGCACUACAAAGGGAUCCAGAAGGGACUUACCGUGUUAGUCUCAUCAUCACCAUUGGUAUUUUCCGUGGGCUGAACGCUAAACGAUCAGCCUUACUUACUUCGUUUGGUUUUAUCUUCUGAUCAGUAUUAUAUUACUAGUGGUAUAUUAGAAUAUGAAUUAAGAUUCUUCAAGGAACCAUUCUUGUAUGCGUACAAGAAUUACACACCCACACACAUAUAUAUUGUCAAUUCUGUCGUGUUUGUCCCAGCUGUGUCCAUUUCUUCUGUAACAAUACCACCCUGACCUAUUCUCAGUUUUGGUACGGUGUAGGUAAAGAAGUCGCGGAUGCCGGGGCAAUAAUUUAAUUGAACCAGUGCUAUGUGAGCGAAGCAAUGCACUUAUAUUUUAUAUUUUAUCAUUUUAAACAGAAGCUUGGGUAAUAAAUGAACUGUAGAGAAAUUGAAACAUCAGCUAUUUGUCCUUAUUGAGUUUUGAGAGUUGGUGGACGCGGCGGCCAUCUGCCUAUUCGGCUAUAUUCAUUCCCUGGCGGCUAGCUCGGCCAAGUCCACUAGGUGAGGGCGGCCAUAUUUGAUCAUUCUCUGCGAUCAUCAUCGAUGGUAUUUUACCAAGGCAAGAAUGCGCAGCUCUUAUAGGGUCGGCUUCAUUUGGAAGGCACUGGUUGAGAAUUUCUAACUUAAGUGUGUGGUUGGUCAAGUCAACUCUGGUGGCCCUCUGUUUCUUAUCUCAUAAUCUUGCCUGUGUAAAACGCGUAUCGAAUUGCAACUUUGCGAGUUUGUAUGACCAACCUCCAUAAUGGUUUUGACCCAUAGCAAAUUAUUGUUAACCCUUUUUUGGUCUUGGGUUGUAAUGGCCCACCAGUGACUCUCCCAGACCGGUUCAAUUUUAAUUUCUGUCGAGAGUUGGCGCAACGAACUAAACUACCCACCAACUGUAAACUGUAGAUUCUAUGUUGGAUCUCUUGAACAACAGUUACAACCCUCUAUCCUAAAACAUUUAAUUAAUUUUGCGUAUGUGUGUACGCCAUUUUCUCUAAAAAGAAAACAGUUAUAAAUAUAGUGAAUUAAGGACUGUAAACUUCAGUUUUCUGGUCUUAAGAGAACACUGAAAGCUGCAAUGUAAUAAAAAUAUCUAUUUUCUUGUGCGUACAAAUACAAUUUUGUACAUGGAAUUUUCCAUGAAGUCAUACUGAAAUUCAUUUCUUAUUGUUUAUUACGCGGCAGUUGCGAAGUCAAUAUCACUAGAAAGAAGAAGAAAGAUAGAAGAAAAACAAAAGUGAGAGAGAGAAAACUAGAUUCUUUUAUUAAGCAUGACGUUUAAGCCUAGGACUAAACUUCAUAGAGUUCAAAUCAAACAUGAACUUAAAAAACAUAACAUAUCAUUCCCUCAAAAAUAUUCUAAAUAAUAAAAGAUUUUGUUACAUGAGAAACAUGGAUUUUUUAUUUUUCAUUUUUACAACAUAUUAGUAAGGUUCAAUUAACAAAAUAAGUAAACGGUCCAUAUCUCUUUCUCCGUACUCUUGAUGAAGCUAUCUCUUGAUUUUAUUUGAGUUAAAGAGUAUAUUGAAAUAGAUAUAAAUAUGUGACUGGAUUUUUCUUUUCAGAUUUGAAUGUAUGGUGAUAUGGUUGUUUUGUUACUUUUAUUUGUUAUGAUAUGUUUAUCUUAGGAAUCGAUCUUUUUGAAAGAUCCAUAGUCACUUUGUUACUCGACAAAGUCUACUCUUAUAAUG
This 6192-nucleotide long non-coding RNA is filed under the name Citrus maxima (pomelo). Its description in RNAcentral is "long non-coding RNA (CMAX_LNC001538)". Lineage: Eukaryota; Viridiplantae; Streptophyta; Magnoliopsida; Sapindales; Rutaceae. The record is from RNAcentral.